Molecule: ribosomal RNA, 326 nt
Filed under: Candida viswanathii
Lineage: Eukaryota; Fungi; Ascomycota; Pichiomycetes; Serinales; Debaryomycetaceae
Description: SSU rRNA
Rfam family: Eukaryotic small subunit ribosomal RNA
Source: RNAcentral
GUAAAUACCUUAACGAGGAACAAUUGGAGGGCAAGUCUGGUGCCAGCAGCCGCGGUAAUUCCAGCUCCAAAAGCGUAUAUUAAAGUUGUUGCAGUUAAAAAGCUCGUAGUUGAACCUUGGGCUUGGUUGGCCGGUCCAUCUUUUUGGAUGCGUACUGGACCCAACCGAGCCUUUCCUUCUGGCUAGCCUUUUGGCGAACCAGGACUUUUACUUUGAAAAAAUUAGAGUGUUCAAAGCAGGCCUUUGCUCGAAUAUAUUAGCAUGGAAUAAUAGAAUAGGACGUUAUGGUUCUAUUUUGUUGGUUUCUAGGACCAUCGUAAUGAUUA